AUGGACAAGGAUCCUUUGGCAGCCUCCUUGCUAUUCCUGUGGCUUCAUCUUACUGUGAGCAGCAUGUCGAACGUGGAACAGAAACCUUGGUCCCUGCAAGUUCAGGAGGGAGAGAGCACCAAUUUCACCUGCAGCUUCCCUUCCAGUUCUUUCUAUAGCUUGAGUUGGUACAGAUGGAAACCUGCAAACCCCCCCAAGUUCCUGUUUGGCAUGAGUUUAAAUGGAGAUGAAAAACAGGAAGGACGAGUAAGCGCCACUCUUAACACUAAGGAGGGUCACAGCUACUUGUACAUCAAAGGAUCCCAGCCUGAAGACUCAGCCACGUACCUCUGUGCCAUGACACAGUGCUCCCCAGGCACCUGCAGUCAGCACCCAAACCCUGGCCAGGCGCUGCUGCGGAACACAGCGUCAACAAAGAGACGUGUGUGA
Molecule: non-coding RNA, 429 nt
Organism: Lepus europaeus (European hare)
Lineage: Eukaryota; Metazoa; Chordata; Mammalia; Lagomorpha; Leporidae
Source: the annotation of a RefSeq genome assembly